CAGUAGCCGCGGUAAUACGUAGGGCGCAAGCGUUAUCCGGAAUUAUUGGGCGUAAAGAGCUCGUAGGCGGUUUGUCGCGUCUGCCGUGAAAGUCCGGGGCUCAACCCCGGAUCUGCGGUGGGUACGGGCAGACUAGAGUGAUGUAGGGGAGACUGGAAUUCCUGGUGUAGCGGUGAAAUGCGCAGAUAUCAGGAGGAACACCGAUGGCGAAGGCAGGUCUCUGGGCAUUAACUGACGCUGAGGAGCGAAAGCAUGGGGAGCGAACAGGAUUAGAUACCCCAGUAGUCCCUGUAUCUUAUAC
RNAcentral lists this ribosomal RNA (301 nucleotides) under uncultured bacterium. RNAcentral's name for it is "partial 16S ribosomal RNA". It matches the Rfam family "Bacterial small subunit ribosomal RNA", at positions 509 to 807 of the family's 1533-position model. The record is from RNAcentral.